Molecule: ribosomal RNA, 414 nt
Filed under: Triticum aestivum (bread wheat)
Lineage: Eukaryota; Viridiplantae; Streptophyta; Magnoliopsida; Poales; Poaceae
Description: partial small subunit ribosomal RNA
Source: RNAcentral
AUGGCGGAGUCCGGCCCGAGCACCGCCUCGCCGUGUAGCCCCGCGCGGCCUCUCGAUCCCUGCAUGAAUGGAGGCGCUCCACCGCACCUCGACCCGAGUUCGCAGUCCUCGAAACCACUCGAAUCCGAGCUCCAAUUUCUUGCGGUGCCGCCGCCGCCGCCGCCACAGCUCCAGUCGACGCCAGAGACCACCACCGCCGUCUCCGAGGAGAGCAACGGAACUGCCGAGUCAAGCCGAGCCUCCCGAAUUCGAGUUCGAGUACUCCCUGGCGCCGCUAAAGCUCCGACAGAGCCCAACCGACGCCAGAGAACACCACCGACGUCUCCCAGGAAAGAAACGGAACCGCCGACUCAAGGCAAGUCUCCUGGACGCCUUCCCGAGGAGCAAGGAUCACCGGAGCCAGCUCAGCGAUAA